RNA transcript from Olea europaea var. sylvestris, 1432 nucleotides. It is a transcript of the gene named EID1-like F-box protein 2, with no coding region annotated. The record is from RefSeq and is a predicted model, not a curated record. The transcript is spliced from 5 exons. Lineage: Eukaryota; Viridiplantae; Streptophyta; Magnoliopsida; Lamiales; Oleaceae.
UCUUGUAAUUACAGAACCGAUUUCAACACUUUGUUUUGCUUUGCAAAAAUUGCAGCAAAAGUUAUUCUCUGACCCCGUAAAUUUUUCCUUGGACCAGAAAAACCCUUUAAAUUAGAUAAAAUACUAAGCAUUUCUUGUAUUUUUCUAGGUUGCUGUUUUGCAUAUGAUCUGCGGGCUGAUGCUGAAAGUGAACUGCUUUUGAGCUGAGGUUAGAAUUUCGGGGCUUGAUUUAAAGUCCAUCCCGAUCCAGUCCUGGCGAAGACAAUGGUUAUCACAAAGCAAUACCGCUGCAUACACUCAGCAAGUUGUCUUUGCACAAAAGGGCAUCUUACUGAGGAAGUGAUAUUCCUGGUUUUUAAUCAAUUAAAUUGGAACCCUAAGUUGGUUGCAACACUUUCUUGUGUUUGCAAAUGGUUUGACGAUCUUGCCAAACGACUCCUCUGGAAGGAGUUUUGUAAGACAAGAGCUCCUAAAAUGAUGCUUGAUUUGCAAUCUAGUGGAAGUCACAUUGUUGACGGUAACUGGAGAGCACUUGGAAAACUACUCAUAUACUGUUCCGGAUGUGACAAGGGUGGCUUAUUCAAGAACAUUCACAUUCCUGGCCACUUCGUCUACAGAACAAGGUUCUCAGGAACAUCAGGGAAGAGCUUCUUAUUACCACAGUGUAGAACUGAUGUUUUAUACGUUUCUGAUCCCUGUGAACAUCUUGACCAAGGGGAUGAAGGGGAUGUUGGGAUUUUCCGAGGAAUAUUUAAAUCCUUCACGACAUCAAAGGUAAGGAAAUUGCUGAUUAACAGGAGCGCACCUCUGCAUCCUACAGAGGUAUGUCCAUAUUGUAAGGCGAAGUUGUGGAACAUGCUGCAAGCUAAGAUGAUACCAGACAGUGCAAGCUGUAGGUUGGGAGCUUAUGAAGAUUGCAUUGAGUAUUAUGUGUGCCUUAAUGGGCACGUGCUCGGGAUUUGUAUCCUUUUGCCCUUGUCUGAUACAGAUGAAGCGUCGGAGGAGUGAUGUUUUAUUGAUCACAACGUGCAUCUUUAAUCAGGUGUUAUGACACGAAACGAGCGUAUAGCUGAAGUGGUCGAUGUUAUACAUAGAAGUAGGUCGAGCCGGACAAUGCUAGAUUGUUCGGAGAAGCUUAAUCUUGUGAAAGUUGCUCCCCUCAGAUUGUGCUGCUUUGGAAUCUAUUUCUUCUAUUGGCAUACUAGUCGAGAUUCGAGUGCUGCUGAUAACCAUUCCGUUUUAACUAUUGCUGCUCACAGUGAUCUUCAUGGAAACCAUGUAUACUGUAUCCGUGUAUGACCUUCAGAAGUUGAAUUUGAAUGAGACUAUUUUAACAUUUGACACUAAUUAUUUGUCAUUAUUUAAAAGCUAGCUUACUUUCUUGUUAAUUUGACAUACAAAGAAUUAUUAUCAAUGCAUGUGUUAUUAUUCA